AAUAAUAAAUGAAUUACAAACUAGCUAGCUAGCUAUAUAUUGUAAUGAAAUAGGCAGGGAGCAGGUCUCGAACCCUCGACCCAGCCGAAGUCCAGCGCGCUAUCGACUGUGCCGCAAAAGCAUGCUCAAGCGGCAGAGUGGAUAUCCGCGCUUAUAAACCCAGGGUUGUUACAAUAUAUUUGAAUCAAUCUACAACAGGCUAUUCAAUCGAAUGAUUUUCCUGUUUGCCCAAAUGUGUAAAAGUUACUGUAUCAUCCGCAGAAAAAAAAAGUGUUCCUCAGGGUACACUCGCUUUUCAAAACCCAUCAACAAAGUGACUGUCAGUACUGACUACACAUUAGCUUGUAGAUAGUUAUCUUAGCUUUCUACUGUAUCGAUGGAUUCCAGGGAGAGUGAAAUCGCUAGAUGUUUAAAUAGUAAUGAUGUUGAGCUGGUUCAGUCGAUCAGUGGCGUCAAUUUAUUGGCUACUACUUUUUUACCUGAGCCGGAGCGCCGCCAUCAUCAGCGACUCAGACGAGCUCACCAAAGCGAGACCGAGCCCCGCCUUGGGAGGCAACCGAUGAAGACCACCCGUCAAUUACUGUGCUUCAGUCAGUCGAGGUGAAAUAUGUCAGUGAUGCUGUGCAACAAAUUGAAAAUGCUUGCAUGGUCAGGUGCACUUGCAAGUCCAACGAAGGGUAGCCCUGCUAUUUGCUUUUUACCCCCAAGGAGAUGAGACGUGACAAGAUGAAUUAACUCACCAAUGGUACUAUGAAAAACAUCUAGUGCUCAUUGGACAGAUCACUGGUUCCAUGAACCUCUCCAAGGAAACUGUCAUCUCAAAGGAGCAAACAAGCAGAAAGGAGACAUCAGAUGAGGUCAUAUUUCCUUGAUUGCCAGCAGAUCUGAAGACUCAUAAGUUCUUUAGAGUAAUACAACUUGAUGUUUUCUGUUAUUUUGGGGCUGCAACAGUAUUACAAGUGCUUCCCAAACAGUUCGCGUUGCCCUUCUGCUAUAGGACAACACCCAUGACGUAUUUAUUCCAAACAUCUGUCAGCACAAAGAUUCAAGUCACUACCAGCCAUCAGGAUUUAAAACUGCUUUCAGAGGGCAUAACCACCUCAAGCUUGCUUUCAAAAUAAACAAUUCGCAACAGAAACUGAACAUCUGUUCAGGAAGUCAUAUCUAGGCUACUUCCCCAUUUCACAUUACAAAACAUUUCCCAAUUAUUGAACUAUGCAAUGAAAAUUGACUCAAUCCUAGUAUUCAUAUAUCAAAUCUCAUUUUCACUUGGCUUUUGGAACAAUUAACAUGAAAAAUACAGAAAAGUUGAUUCGCCCCAGACAAAUGACGCAGCCGGUGGUUGAAGUUGAAUUGAACAGUAUAAAAAAAAAUCAUAAUGGAGAAAGACCCAUUGAAAUCACCUAGAAUAUAUGUUGUCACGCACUACUCAUAAAGCAAAUUUAAAAUUUGUAUUAUUUAAAAACAUAAAAUACUGUCUCAUACAGUCAUUAUUAUUUUUAAUACCGUGAUAAUAUUUUGGCCAUAUCGCCCAGCCCUACUUUUUACUAAGCUAACAGAACACACACUCCGCUGACACGCAACAGAAACAGAAAACACAUCAAACCACAUUUACAUCUAUUUACAGUUCAAUCAAACCAAGGACUUGGAGCAGAGUCCAGUGCUUCAUAGCAUCUCAGUGAGCUGUCAAUCAUUUAACCUGGGAAAUAAAGAAGGGAAAUGGAUCUAAGUCCUCAUACAGCAGCUUAGACAUAUAGGGGUCGUAUUCACUAGACACCAAAGAGAAGAACACGGAACAAAAACAAACCUGAACUUAGAAACUAGUUUUUGUUGCAAAACCGGUUUGCAUCAAUGAAUAUAACAGUGUCUGGAUGUCUACAAUGGCUUAUUGUACACUAUAUCAGUGUGCUCAUGAAACUGAUUAUUAUUCCAUUUCUGUUAGUCACAUGUCUGUGGAACUUGUUCAGUUUGUCUCAUUUGUUGAAUCUUGUUACAUUCAUACAAAUAUUUACACAUGUUAAGUUUGCUGAAAAUAAAUGCAGUUAACAGUGGGGGGACGUUUCUUUUUUUGCCGAGUUUAUAUUCCAAGCUUGUUAAAGCAACGGUAGGAGACAUAAAUAAACCAUCAAUCACAAGUGA
This is a long non-coding RNA of Oncorhynchus tshawytscha (Chinook salmon), 2139 nucleotides long. RefSeq lists it as uncharacterized. The transcript is spliced from 2 exons. NCBI's taxonomy places the organism in Eukaryota, Metazoa, Chordata, Actinopteri, Salmoniformes, Salmonidae. The record is from RefSeq and is a predicted model, not a curated record.